Molecule: ribosomal RNA, 238 nt
Filed under: uncultured bacterium
Lineage: Bacteria
Description: partial 16S ribosomal RNA
Rfam family: Bacterial small subunit ribosomal RNA
Source: RNAcentral
UAGCCCUACGGGAGGCAGCAGUGGGGGAUAUUGCACAAUGGGGGGAACCCUGAUGCAGCGACGCCGCGUGGGUGAAGAAGCGCCUCGGCGCGUAAAGCCCUGUCAGCAGGGAGGAAAAUGACGGUACCUGAAGAAGAAGCCCCGGCUAACUACGUGCCAGCAGCCGCGGAAAUACGUAGGGGGCAAGCGUUAUCCGGAUUUACUGGGGGUAAAGGGAGCGCAGGCGGGAAGCCAAGGC